Molecule: long non-coding RNA, 4546 nt
Filed under: Linum usitatissimum (flax)
Lineage: Eukaryota; Viridiplantae; Streptophyta; Magnoliopsida; Malpighiales; Linaceae
Description: long non-coding RNA (LUSI_LNC007551)
Source: RNAcentral
GUACAAAUAGUUCAGCAGAUAAAUCACGAGGGAGAGGUGAACAGAGCUCGCUACAUGCCUCAAAAUCCCUUUAUCAUUGCCACCAAAACCGUCAGCGCAGAAGUCUACGUCUUUGACUACAGCAAGCAUCCUUCUAAACCUCCAUUGGACGGAGCUUGCAGUCCGGAUUUAAGAUUGAGCGGACACAACACUGAAGGCUAUGGUUUGUCCUGGAGCACGUUCAAGCAAGGCCAUUUACUCAGUGGUUCUGACGAUGCCCAGAUUUGCUUAUGGGACAUCAACGCUACUCCUAAGAAUAAGACUCUUGAUGCGACCCAGAUUUUCAAGGUCUUGUUCAUUUGAAUGCCUCACAGUCACUGAUGUAAUCUGGUUAUAUGUUCUGUAACUAUUGAUUGAACUCUUUCCCUUUGUUUUUGAACUUCCUUUUGAUGUUCUUUUUUGAUGUGUUGUUUUGCUGAAUAGGUUCAUGAAGGGGUUGUGGAAGAUGUAGCGUGGCAUCUGAGGCAUGAGUACUUAUUUGGCUCUGUGGGGGAUGACCAGUACCUACUUAUAUGGGAUAUUCGCAGCCCAGCUGUAACUAAACCUGUCCAGUCUGUUGUUGCUCAUCAAAGUGAGGUAUGGCGCAUGGUGUUUGAUUUUCUUCAAUUUCCUUAUUUGCUCAUGGAAGAUAUGGCUGUGUGUAAAGGUGCUUACUUCUUGAACAAUCAUGCUCCAGUUUAUAUUUUAUAAAAUAUUCUAAUCUACAUAUAGUUGAUAGCUCUCAUAUCAUAUGCACUUCCUAUUCUAUAUCCAAAUUAAUCUGUUUUUUCGUUGAUUUUCUGAUAGGUGAACUGUUUGGCCUUCAAUCCAUUCAAUGAAUGGGUUGUGGCAACUGGAUCAACUGAUAAGACCGUCAAAUUGUUUGACUUACGCAAGAUCAGUACAGCGCUGCACACAUUUGAUUGUCACAAGUAUGCUCUUAAAGCUGUAUCAUUUCAUAAUUAAAAACUUACUUGGUAGAUCCAAUUGCUUGCGUGUUAUAAAUGUGUAGCAUAUGCUCUGAGAUGAUUUCUUAGUGUUUUACACCCCUCUUCUUGCUUAUGACAGAGAAGAAGUCUUCCAAGUUGGCUGGAAUCCAAAGAAUGAGACCAUCCUAGCUUCUUGUUGCCUUGGAAGGAGGCUCAUGGUUUGGGAUCUUAGCAGGUUGGUGCAUUCCCUUAAUAUACCGUAACAUCUUUAUUUGGUUUUCUUGGUUGAUUGCCUUGUAGGGUUUCUUUUGAUGGCAUGAACAUCUGGGUAACUUCCCUACUUAUACAUACUCAUAAAACAUAAAAAUUUCACAUAUAUUUUCACCCUGAUAGUUCCCAAUGUGCUUCAACUUCACCUUUACUUGGAAUAGUGGUUGAAUUAGCUAGACCUGAAGGAAGCAAAAACUUGUGUUAUACCUUUCGUCAAUGCAAAUUCUUAAGACUUCAUCUUCUUUUACGUUCCUAGUUUUUACUGAUAAACUAUCAAGAACAUAACUGUAUCAGAUUGACCAAAGCAAUAGCUGUAUCAGUGUGUCAAAGGUUUGUACCGCUCAUAUCACUGAAAUCAUCGUGCAUGUGGCUUAUUGUUGAUAGAAGAUUUGCUGAUCUAAAGUAGAUAACUGAUCUAACUUGGAGAUUGGCAAGACUAAAGGUUCUUUCAGUGUUUUCGUCCUGAGAAAGAUUUUUUCCCUGUCUUGUACACAAAAGUCUUGGAUUGCUUAUGUUUCAAUGCACAUUAUUGGUGCCUGACCCGUCGUUUUUUACAUUCAACCCCACAGCCUUUUACUAUGAGCAAUGCUUUUCAGUUACAUCUGUUGAAGUUUAAGAGUUGUGUAAUUGGUUUUCAGUUGCACGAGCUUAACCAUCUUACAAAUAAAGUAUCGCUUGAGAAUCUAUUUUGGUAGCUAUUUCCGACUAGUCAUCGGUGUCGUUCAUCGCAAUAAACAGUAUUAAGUAAAAACUCUGACCCGGACUCUUCCUGUGAAUGUGUUCAACACCUUAUGAGAUGAUGGUAACGAUGUGGGGUUGGGGCACUGUGUUUGCAGGAUUGAUGAGCAGCAGACUCCCGAGGAUGCGGAAGAUGGUCCGCCGGAGUUGCUCUUCAUUCAUGGCGGUCACACGAGUAAAAUAUCAGACUUUUCGUGGAAUCCAUGUGAAGACUGGGUUGUAGCGAGUGUGGCUGAAGAUAACAUCCUUCAGAUAUGGCAGAUGGCUGAGAACAUAUACCAUGAUGAAGAUGAUUUGCCUGUUGAUGAAUCCACCAAAGGUUCUUAGCGAGCAACAUCCGAGUGAGUGAAGUUCAUGGUUACUCCUUGCUGCAUUAAUUUAGGUUCCCUUGUUGAUCGUUAGUAUUGGCUAAAACCUUGAGCGAGCUGUUCAUGGUAAUUAUGUACGUUUCCGCCCAUUUUGUCACAUGUUAUACUCUUGUAACCAUUUUGUUAACUGAUCCCAAACUUAUGUGAUUUUUUUUGUGACUGAGAGAAACUGGGAGAAACUGCCUUCUAAGAGGAGAGAAAGAUAAUAAAUAUAACAUAGAUGUUUAUAAAUGGGGUGUGACUGGAAUUGAAAUUGGUACUUUCAAUUCGAUGAUUUUUGUUUAUUACCUUAGUCAAACUUAUUUUUUUCACCCAUUUUAUAUUAGGUAGGUUCGGCAAUGAUCAGACUUGGGUAUUUGAUAUUUGUUUUCAAUCGGUAAUAGUCUUGGGUUUGAGUAAUAUUCACUCUAUAUAAUAUUUCGCAUGGUAAAUAUCAUAUUAUAACCAAGUCCGUAGUUUUUUGGUGGUUUCGAUUAUAAUUGUAAUCAGAAAAACUGUAAAAUAUAAAGAAANNNNNNNNNNNNNNNNNNNNNNNNNNNNNNNNNNNNNNNNNNNNNNNNNNNNNNNNNNNNNNNNNNNNNNNNNNNNNNNNNNNNNNNNNNNNNNNNNNNNNNNNNNNNNNNNNNNNNNNNNNNNNAGAGUAAUACAAGAGCAGAAUAACAACGCUCCAUCCUACUCGUUGCCCAGAGCCUUGACUUGAACAUAGGAUAAGUGCUUAAGGUUCUUUCAGGUCAUAAAAUCUAUGUAAAUUACUAAUAGCCUAAUAUUAAAUUAUAUCAUUCAAAAUUUUUAUUAUUUCAUAUGCCACCGNNNNNNNNNNNNNNNNNNNNNNNNNNNNNNNNNNNNNNNNNNNNNNNNNNAUCUCGAUAUAACAGUAUCUUAAUAAAUUAAUCAGGUUAUUUUCUAUUCAGAUACUUCAAUAUCCAUAUUCUACAUAUACCCACAUAACCAUUUUGGGUUUACCCAUACCCUAAAAAUAUUUAAUUAACUUGAAUUUUAUCCUAUUUGACCUGAUGAAAUUCAGCCUGUAUUGAAGCAUAUCCUAAAAAUACUUAAUUAAUUUGAAUGUUAUCCUAUUUGACCUGAUGAAAUUCAGUCUGUAUUGACGAUUAUGAUUGCCAUAAAAAGGUAGUUUUAAUUUUAGGGUUAAUUGAAUUAGUUUUUUUAAUUUGACAAUAGCACCCUUUUUAGUUAUUAUGUUAUAUCUACCAUCAGAUCAUAUAACAUUAAUCUAACGGUCUAUAUUGCAUUUCUCACCUUAGAAAUGCUUAGGUCUCUCACCCUAAGGCCUCCGGCUAUUACCCCCUUCGUCCGGACCGGCCUCACCCAUUCACGCUCCUAAAUGUACCCUCAGCCACUGAACUUCAGUGCCUGCAUCAGCUCGCCCUCGGCGUUUCUUCAUCUCUAGCUAUCACUGCAUUCAUCAUUCACCUUCGAUUCUGAUAAACCACCCAAGAAGCGAAUCCAAAACCCCCCAAAUUCAUUACACCGACUGUUGCAAAAGCGUGGAACACUCAGCCAUCUUCACCACCGCACACGUUGUCCAACACUCCAACCGUUAAAGAAACCCUAACCAUCCCCCUGAUUCCGUAUGAAUUAAGCUUACACAGUGAACACGGGGAAGGGAUAAAUCCCAAAUUGAAGCGGAGGAGUGCUGCAAAUGGGGAAGGACGAUGAGGAGAUGAGAGGGGAGAUGGAGGAAAGGCUUAUCAACGAAGAGUACAAAAUAUGGAAAAAGAACACUCCUUUCCUCUACGACCUCGUCAUUACCCACGCCCUCGAAUGGCCUUCCCUUUCCGUCGAAUGGUUGCCGGAUCGCGACGAGCCUCCGGGCAAAGACUACUCCGUCCAGAAGAUGAUCCUCGGCACCCACACCUCCGAAAACGAGCCUAAUUACCUCAUGCUCGCUCAGGUUCAGCUUCCCUCAGAAGACGCCGAGAAUGACUCCCGAAAUUACGACGACGACCUCUCUAAUUCGGGUGGCUUUGGUUCUGCCAGCGGCAAGGUCAGUCAAUGCUUCAGUUUUUCAUCCCCCCCAGUCUACGUCUUUGACUACAGCAAGCACCCUUCUAAACCUCCAUUGGACGGAGCUUGCAGUCCAGAUUUGAGGUUGAGUGGACACAACACUGAAGGUUACGGUCUUUCCUGGAGCACGUUCAAGCAAGGCCAUUUACUCAGCGGUUCCGACGAUGCACAGAUUUGCUUGUGGGAUAUCAAUGCUAC